AAAAUGACACAGCUUUAUAAUUAAAUUGAAACAAAAGUUAGGCGUUCGCUAAAGAUUGGAGAGUGUGAAUCAAAAUACACCAAACUGUGGAGUGAGUUGUCAGAUUCAACUGCUCACAGGUGGUGAGGUCAUAGUCUGAAAAUGCAGGGCAAGCAAGAAGAAGUGGAAUUUAAAUUUGUGGAUUAUACACUUGCUUUAGCUGCAUUUAGAUGCGAUUCAGAGACUGCAAGGAAAGCAAAUGUUGUGGCGGUAAAUAACAAUUAAAUCGAAGACCAU
Long non-coding RNA from Saccostrea cuccullata (small rock oyster), 276 nucleotides. RefSeq lists it as uncharacterized. The transcript has 2 exons. NCBI's taxonomy places the organism in Eukaryota, Metazoa, Mollusca, Bivalvia, Ostreida, Ostreidae. The record is from RefSeq and is a predicted model, not a curated record.